RNAcentral lists this ribosomal RNA (492 nucleotides) under uncultured bacterium. RNAcentral describes it as "partial 16S ribosomal RNA". It matches the Rfam family "Bacterial small subunit ribosomal RNA", at positions 29 to 507 of the family's 1533-position model. The record is from RNAcentral.
AGUGAACGCUGGCGGUAGGCCUAACACAUGCAAGUCGAACGGCAGCACAGUAAGAGCUUGCUCUUACGGGUGGCGAGUGGCGGACGGGUGAGGAAUACAUCGGAAUCUACUUUUUCGUGGGGGAUAACGUAGGGAAACUUACGCUAAUACCGCAUACGACCUACGGGUGAAAGCAGGGGAUCUUCGGACCUUGCGCGAUUGAAUGAGCCGAUGUCGGAUUAGCUAGUUGGCGGGGUAAAGGCCCACCAAGGCGACGAUCCGUAGCUGGCCUGAGAGGAUGAUCGGCCACACUGGAACUGAGGCACGGUCCCGACUCCUAGGGGGGGCAGAAGUGGGGAAUAUUGGACAAUGGGCGAAAGCAUGAUCCAGCCAUACCGCGUGGGUGAAGAAGGCCUUCGGGUUGUAAAGCCCUUUUGUUGGGAAAGAAAAGCAGCAGGUUAAUACCCCGCUGUUCUGACGGUACCCAAAGAGUAAGCACCGGCUAACUUCGUG